UUCUCCUUCUAGUACCAAAAUGACAGAGCCUGCUCUUGGAUUAGUUUCUUUUAGUCAAUUUAUUUUUCAUUUUCUUUUUCCUUUCCUUUCCUUUUGAGAUAGAAUCCUGCUAUGUGGUUGGUCCCGAAUGGUGGGACCUUACGCGAGUACUACUACACGAGCUUCUCUUAAUCAGUUUCUGUUUUCAUAACCCCUUGCCUUCCCUCUGCUUAUAUCUUACUAGUUUGCUUCAGCUCUCAUAUCGUUUUCAGUUGAUUUUGAGAAAAUGAAAGACAGAAAAGUGGUCAUUCUCUGAGGUUAAAUGAGGAAUAGCUCCUACAUUGACUUGUAGUAUGCGCUGAAAAAAAUGUAUUUAACAUACAUUAAUAACCUCAUGAGAUCAAAACAAUGUACAUACCAUUUUAUAAUUAGUAACAUUUUAAAAUAUAGAACUGCAUCAGCUACUUCUUUGACUAAAAUUUUCCACUGCUCCCUUCUCUCCUAUAGCCAUUUCUCUGCUAUUUUCAUUUCCCCAUACUUUGAACUAUUCAUUCUACACUGACCUAGAAUCAAUGCCACUUCUGCCUAGCCAGGUCUGUGUUACCAGAGAGCCAAGUAGAGCAGAGGAUCGAAGAAGGUAGGUCUGGAACUAAAACAUCCAUCAGGCAAUAACAAAAUUGAAUUUCCUUCCAGCUCAAAAAUUCAAUGACUCUUAGCCGUCUCUAAAGCAUUCCACUGAACAAGCACACAGCACUGAUUUUAGGACUGUAGGUAGCACAGGCUGUCGUCUGAACGCUAACUGUACUCACUUGCCCAGAUGAAGUUUUAAGUGUGGAUUUACCUAGGUCUCUUCAAUUCUUUAUUCAUCUCUGUUCUUUUAGUUUUAAAUAAAGAUAAAAUGGUUUGGUAAGAUAUUUGUAAAUGGUUAGCUUACUUACCAUUAGGUUAAACAAAUAGUUCACAAAAAAUAAAUUAAAAAUGCCUAAAACUUUAUUUUGCUUUGGAACGCUCAUAAACCCUAAUGAGAAAUAAACACUUAAAAACCAAUAAAGAUAUAAAUAAAGAUAGCUGUGCGUCCAAGACAUUUACCUUGAAGUAGAAUUUUAAUUUCAAGUUUCAUAGAAUGUUUAGAGUUAGAAGGAGCCUGAAGGUCAUCUAGUCCAACAGACUCUGCAUGAGGGAGUUCCCGCGACUCCUGCAGCAUUAUAGGGUACACUACACUGGCUUACGUAGCCUCGGAACGGCCUACAUUGAAGAAUCCGGUGUACUUUAAAAUCUAAUUAAUAGUGUUGAGUCUUAGAAUUUACUAUUGACCUUGUACUAAAACUUAGAAUUUGCCCUUGUAGCUUUUUUUUUUAAUGUGAGAGUCACCCUGCUCUUUGCUUGCUGACACCGGAGCCUGAAUGCAGAGUGACAGUGGUCUUUGUGGGAACUGGCUAUGUGCAGAAGCUCUGCCCUCUAAGCGUCCCCAUCUGUCAUGAGGACGUCCCGUCCCCUUCCCUCUCACCCUCUCAUGGAGGGUAAGACCACGUUCUCUAUUAAAGUCGAUUUGGUGAUGUGCUUUCUAUUUUGUGUGCUUACUGUAUUAUUUAAAGUUCAUCUAAUGAGCUUCACUAAUUCUGCUGUGCUUUCUGCCCAUCAUCUGGAACACUGCAGUUUGUUUCUUUUGUUUGUUCAACCCUUCUGUGUCAUAUAACUUACGUUCCAGAUUAGAAGGUUUUGUUAGUUAUAUGUCUCUAGCCAAACUAAAUGCAUACAUACUUGUUAGAAGCAAAGUUAGUAGCCAGCUGUAUAGACAGUGCCUUUCUCAGUUUAUUUUUGAUAUUUAAUUUUCUUAAUUACAAAUUUAGAAAGUAACACAUUGGAACACAAGGUGAAAUUUUUAAAAACCCUUCUAGUUUUGGCUGUGUUCUUUGUUGGGUUCAGUGUUUUAUAUAAACAUUGGUUUCUACAAGGUCUUGAAGAGAGACUGGCAAACCCUCCUAAGAUGGGCAAGACUUUUCUGUGCCCCAGCUCAGUUUCCCAGUGAUGUGGCAUAACGCCUGAGCCCUAACUAUACUUCCCUUUAUGGCCAGGUUUCUCCAUUCUUUAUUAGUUUCCCUCUACCUUGACACCAUUUCUACACACAGCAUUAAGUCUAUAGUACAAAGUCCAAAUGACACAUAGAUAAAAGAAGGUAACCUUAGGGGAAAAUGUACAGUUUGUUCUAGUAAUAAAACAAGACAAAAUUAAAGAGCAUAUUAUUUUAACUCAACAUCGUUUAUAAUUUGUAGUAUUUCAUAGACUUUUGAAGGUUAAAACAAUAGGUUAGGUUUGCGGGUUAUUCUGUUUUGGGUUUGUAGGGAUAUACGUAAGAGUGUCAUAAUUUGAUAAGCUCUUUCCGACCCUUUUUAUGUUGGAAUUAUUUUUACAGUGAUGCCCUAGCUCACACAUCACAUUUCAUACGAAAUAGUGAAAGAUGAAGGUUUGGGGAGGGGAGGGUUCUUUUUUUAUUAUCUUAUCCGGUGGCAGUGUGCUGCUUAUUCUGGUGCACCUGUUACAUCCUUUCUUAAGUAACGGACAGCUAUUCAUUCACUGAUACUUUUAAGCUGACUGUCUGGAGAGCUGCGGUUUAAUACUCUAUGAGUUAAUUUUAUUGAGAAUAGUGCAAGUGCUUUGCGUUCAUUGCUUUUACUUGAUUCUCCUCUAUAGGCAACUUACUAGAUUUGAUUACUUCACAUAGUUUUUGAUUUGGGUUUCUUUUCUGUAUAUAUCCAGUGUUCUUGAGUCAAAUUAAAAGAAAUUUGAAUAAACUGAAAUUUUUCUUAUUCCAGGAGCAGAAGACUCUUCCAUUUCUGUUUUUCUGUUAAUUCACACUCCGCUUCCUCCAGCUGCUCAUGAAAGCUAAUUAAUAGAGUAGGAGUGUAUAGCACUAAACUUACUCCACAUAAAUAGCCCACAAUUGGCUCUGCAUUUGAACAUAGUGUCCUAGCACUGAUAAAGUGACACCAUGCACAAAGGCUCAAGCUGGAGGCCAUGGGGACUGUGGUCACACUGGUGCUCAGGAUGGAGGCCUGAUGUCUAUAUUGUGUAAAGGGUUCUUGUGGGUCAGUCAGGUUCACAGCCAAAUAGGGAAAGAGUAGGUUAAGUGUAUUCACACAGCUCUGUGGGUGGUCUGCUCUCUUAAGAAAUAAGCCAGGUGCUAUUCUGAAGCAACACAGUUUUUGUUUGUUUUUACAUUGAUUUUAUAUUCAUUGCUUUUUUUUUUUCCAAUCACAACGGUACAAAAACAACGAAGAUUUCCAUUACAACCCAAAAUUCCUGCCGAAGCUGCCAUUUAUUUGGGGGUGGGUCUACGUCAGCUGACAGACGCUGUUGGCUGCAGUUUGUGGCUACCAUCCCGUGCUUCUUUGUCAGUGAUAUUGAGGUUAAUAUUAGAAACAAGCAGUUCUGUGGUGGAGAAGGAAGUGUGGGUCUUACAACCUUGAAAGGAUUAAGAUAGGAGAUGUAAAUAUUGGUUCAUAAACAGAUGCUCAGUUCUCAGGGCUCUCUUACUGAAGCUAGUAUUCAUGCAGGAAGCUGAAUCUCAGCUUGUGUGCUAAGUUAAUGCUUUAAUUUGGAAUAUAUUUCAUAAGUCUUACCAAGCUGAUAUGUUAUUUCCUAUAGAUUUCCAGCACCUAUCUAGAAAGCAAUUGGCCUAUACGGGUGAGUGUGUCUUUUGUUGGUAUUGUGUGGUCAUUCUGGGAGGUGAGCCCUUGUGGAUUCAUUGCAAAGCUCAGUGCUUCAUCUGCUGGGCAUUACUAGUGGGUCUCCGCCACACUUUGUCAAUAUUUAGGCUUUUAGUUUAGUAUUUUAUAUUUAAAUCACUUAGCAAACAUGUAUUUAUAGUCUCUUCACUUUAUAUUUUAUUAAGUACUUUAUACCAUGUGCAGGAAAGAGAUUUUAAUUUUUUUUAAAGUUUUCAGCUAUUGAUAAACUUGGACAAAAUAUUGCUGUGGCUGGCAAGUUUGGAUUUGCUCAUUAUUCUCUACUCACCAAAAAAUGGAAACUUUUUGGAAACAUUACUCAGGUUAGUCCUUUCUUUUUUUUUUUUUUUUUUAAGAAAAAUAAAUUUCAAGAUACAAAGC
Molecule: long non-coding RNA, 4085 nt
Filed under: Mus musculus (house mouse)
Lineage: Eukaryota; Metazoa; Chordata; Mammalia; Rodentia; Muridae
Description: long non-coding RNA chr19:29580550-29584635
Source: RNAcentral